Molecule: ribosomal RNA, 468 nt
Filed under: uncultured bacterium
Lineage: Bacteria
Description: partial 16S ribosomal RNA
Rfam family: Bacterial small subunit ribosomal RNA
Source: RNAcentral
GACGAACGCUGGCGGCGUGCUUAACACAUGCAAGUCGAACGGUGAAGCGAGUGCUUGCACUCGUGGAUCAGUGGCGAACGGGUGAGUAACACGUGAGUAACCUGCCCAUCACUCUGGGAUAAGCACUGGAAACGGUGUCUAAUACUGGAUACGACCAACCCUUGCAUGGGGUGUUGGUGGAAAGAUUUAUCGGUGAUGGAUGGACUCGCGGCCUAUCAGCUUGUUGGCGGGUAAUGGCCCACCAAGGCGACGACGGGUAGCCGGCCUGAGAGGGUGACCGGCCACACUGGGACUGAGACACGGCCCAGACUCCUACGGGAGGCAGCAGUGGGGAAUAUUGCACAAUGGGCGAAAGCCUGAUGCAGCGACGCCGCGUGAGGGAUGACGGCCUUCGGGUUGUAAACCUCUUUCAGCAGGGAAGAAGCGAAAGUGACGGUACCUGCAGAAGAAGCACCGGCUAACUACGUG